AGUGUGAUGGCCGAGUGGUCUAAGGCGCUGGAAUUAGGCUCCAGUCAGUAAUGGCAGGGGUUCGAAUCCCCUUCACACUA
This is a transfer RNA of Vittaforma corneae ATCC 50505, 80 nucleotides long. It matches the Rfam family "tRNA". From Rfam's summary of the family: Transfer RNA (tRNA) molecules are approximately 80 nucleotides in length. Lineage: Eukaryota; Fungi; Microsporidia; Nosematidae. The record is from Rfam.